Long non-coding RNA from Gallus gallus (chicken), 3664 nucleotides. NCBI's taxonomy places the organism in Eukaryota, Metazoa, Chordata, Aves, Galliformes, Phasianidae. The record is from Ensembl.
AAGGCAUGAAUGCUUGAACAAACCUACUAGUAGAAAAACUUGUAAAAACUUGGUAAAUUAGGAAAAAAAAAAUCAGAUUACAUGCACUUAAGCAGAAGGAUGAACAAAAAUGCAAAAAAAAAAAAAAAAGCACUUAAUUAUGAAGAUAAUGUCAGAUUUUCCAGUUACAGAUGGUACAACUUAUUUAGUCUCCUGCAAAGACUCAGGUGGCAGCUAUUGCCUUGUGUUCACAGCCACGGCUGACAUGCGUGGCCAGCUGCCUGCAGUUCUACCCAGCACUGCAGAUGAGCCACUCUGGGCUACCAAAUCACCCACAGUCUCAGGAAGAUGGAUGUUCUUUAUCAUCUUUCAGUCUUCGGAGGAAUUUGUUAAUGGCUUUGCGACAAUGGUUCAUCUCAGAUAUGGUUUAAAGAUGACAUCGUUAGGAGGAGGAAUAGCCAGAAGGGUUUUGGUUGCCAUUUGGUGAGUCUGGGAAGGAGCUAGAUGCCAAAAAGAGUUGUAGAAAGGAGCAGGCAUCAUCCAGACUAGUGAGAAGUGGUAGGACUAGAACUUAAAGGCUUUGAGAACUGUAGAACUUAUGAUUAAAAGAAAUGCAUGGAAGUAAGCAUCUUGAAAGGCGUGCAACAAGUUUUAUGGCAUAUCUCUAACUAAGGCAAAAUAUUGAAAAUUGCCAUAGAUUUGUUUACAAGAGUAUAUUUGUAUGUGUGGGAAUCUCUGACCGAGGACAUGCCCUAUGGCAUGUUCUAGACCUGUUCUGUGCAGUGUAUCAAUUUAAUCCCUGAGGCAACUGUUUCAGCAUUAGAACAAAUAAACCAAGGUUGUAUUGCAUUUUGGAUUCAUGAACUGCUCUGGUUGUCGUGUACCAAAUUAUUUGUGGUAAAGUAAUAGAAGUAAGAGUAAGUAUCCUGGGAAGUAAAGGUUGUGUCUUGCCAUGUCUCUAAUGGAUGUGUAUGUUUAACUAGCACAUUAUCUAGUACAUUUAAUCCUUUGUGAAUAUGAGGUUUUAUUUAGGAAUUUUUCUGUUUCUCAGCAAAACUGUUGACUGCUCCCUAUAAUAAUAAAUAGACUGUUGAUAAAAUAUGCCACUGGUAUUUUGUAAAUAUAAUUAGUCUGGAAGUUCUGUUUCUUUUUGCAGUUCUACAGUUGUCUGUUGUGACCUUCUCCUCAUAGUAACAAACAUGAAAAAUACGCUUGGAAUGUACGUGAAAGUUAUUUUCGAUUGCUCUACAAAAGCCAUUGACAGUUUGUUGCAUACUGUUGCAUCUUUUUUAUUUAUUUGACCAGGACCAGGCCAAAUGUAUGUUCUAAGCCUAAAGUAUAAUCAGUUACCAGUUCAUACCUUUGUUCUUGUAUGACCCUGUUUGUCCUUUGUGUUUGUUAUAUGAGCUAUCAUACCUGCAUAUAUAUGAUUUAUGUUUUUAAUAGUUCUGACAUAAAACUAGGCCUAGUUGGCUGAAGAAGAGUUCAUAGAAAAUAUUCAAUACAUGGAUUCUUGUGCUAAUACGAGUGCACUGUUUCUGUCCAAGCAGUCAGGCAGCUCUGAAUCUUUCCUGGAUGUGGCUGUAAAUUUAAAUGCUUUUGAUAACAAGCACAAAGUGUGCUUGCUGUUUGUUUUCUGUUUGUAAGAAAAAAGAAUAGAGCCUUUUCAGUGUUUACCUACACAGAUGAACAUCUGCCCUUCCAGUUUUAGAUUAUUUUUGUUUUACAUUAAGGAAAAAUAGCAAUGACCAAACAUUCUGCACACACACACACAAAAUUCAGACACUUCAUAUAGCUCAUCUGAAAUACAAAAUGCUGUGGUGCAGGAGCAGGUUUGGAAACAUCAAAGUGGAAAUGACUGUGGGUCCGUGUUAUUUAAAACUUGGACCAGUGACUUGCUUUGAAUCAUGUUGCUAUCAAACGAUCUUUAAAACAUGUUUGCAAUUAUGCCAAAAUUGUGAAGUUCCUAGGUCACUUUAGCAAGGUGAAAGUCUUCUUGAGGUAUCACUCCCUUGAGAAGUUUGCAUUAGUAAUUUUCAGGUAGGCAUUAUGGAGAAUAUAUAUUUGCUCCGCAUUAGAUUAAGAGUCCUUAAGAUUAGAUGAAGAGUCCUUCAUCUCUGUGGUAGCACACGGUAUGUUUUAUUUUGUCCUAAGAGACAUGGCCAUUCUGUAAAAACUAGAUUCUCCACGAAGAGAAAACCAAAAUACUUAAUAGGCUGGACUCCCAGUACUGGAAACUGCCAUCACCGAGCCCACUGGUGCAAUCCUGCUGUGAUGUCUGUGCCCACCAUCCUGAUCUGUUGAGGUCCUAGAUGGAGCUCCGCACUGACCUGCAUGCAAUGCAAGCGUGCUUCCAGCCUUUGGCAGCCUUUCAGCAAUGGUAUGUUCCACCUACAUGUAAUAGUUCUUAUCUUGUUUAUUUUGAAAGUCUUAUUCUGUAAGAAAUCCCAUCUAAGCUAAAAGAUGUUAGUCGUAAUGCUACUUUCUGUCAUAUAUCCACUGUCUAUCAGAUACCCAGAUGCACAUUCAUUUUGGGGGAAGCAGUUCUACAUGCUUUAAUUAGGAAAGGCUUCCUAUUACCACCGACUUUUUUUAGAACAUGGGAUUUCAUUUAUAAAUAAGUAUUUUUUUUUUUAAGAGUAGAACUUCCCACCUCCUAGUUCUGCCAGGUCCUUCUUUAUGCUUGUUAUUUUACCAGUGUCCUGCUCCUGGAGACAGAUUAUUUUGUUGGCUGCAUCUAAUCCUCUUUCCUGAAAAAGAAAUGAAAAAUAGAUUGCACCUGCGUCUUGUGAAAGUCACAUUGCACCUCUCAGGAGUAAUGCUGAAUCCUUAAGGUGGCACUGUGUGUACCAGCACUGAUGUUCUGCAAGGACUAGAAGAAACUUCUGAGGGAAGCACACUGGUCAAGGCUGCCAUGUAUGGAACUGUGAGCCCGCUGUUAUACAACGUGAUCCAGAACGUGUGGCUGACGCUUCGCUCGAGUUAAGCCUGCCUUUCUUAGCACUGUUGCUGUGGGCAGGAACGCGCACGAUGCUCUAUGCUGCUGCUUUGAGCCCGUCUCAAAGCCACGUUCUCGCUUUCUUGGGAGCAUCGAGCAAAGGCGAUCCCCCUCUUGUGGAAGGAAAUGGAACGCCACUGCGAGUUCUAAAUUCUGCUUCCAAGCCUCCGCACGCUCGGAGCCAGACCGGACCUGGAGAAAGCCGGAGAAAGGUGUGCAGCUCUCCUUAUUUAUUGGCGUGAUGUGGGCAAGAGCACAAGUAAGGUAUCGUUAUCCGAACAAAGAUGUUUUGGUUCAGAUACAUACUGCAUCGUUACAACCUUCUCUUGUGAAGUUCUUCUCUUGUGCUGCUGUUGGUGCACAUCUAACCGAGGUGUCUGGUUCAGAAGCCUGGCGUUGAAUUUAUGGCAAUCACCAGCAAAUUGGCCUCUCUUCUGUUUCUAAAUGACUCUUUGCACUUCUAAAUUACUCUUUGCAACUCUAUAAGGAGAAAGGAUUUAUUACAACUUUAAGCCCAGUGCAUAUUCCUUUCUGAUCUCUGCAUGUAGAUGAGUGUUCUCAAACAGCCCCAGGUUUUUUCUUGCGUUGGUCUGGUGUUAUUGUUUGUUUGUUUUGUAUUUUUUCCCCCCAAUUCAAACUCUGCCCUCCCUCUGUGAGGUGUGGCCCACUGUUGGUUUUGGCUCUGUG